Molecule: ribosomal RNA, 507 nt
Filed under: Escherichia coli
Lineage: Bacteria; Pseudomonadati; Pseudomonadota; Gammaproteobacteria; Enterobacterales; Enterobacteriaceae
Description: partial 23S ribosomal RNA
Rfam family: Bacterial large subunit ribosomal RNA
Source: RNAcentral
UGUUUCGGCAAGGGGGUCAUCCCGACUUACCAACCCGAUGCAAACUGCGAAUACCGGAGAAUGUUAUCACGGGAGACACACGGCGGGUGCUAACGUCCGUCGUGAAGAGGGAAACAACCCAGACCGCCAGCUAAGGUCCCAAAGUCAUGGUUAAGUGGGAAACGAUGUGGGAAGGCCCAGACAGCCAGGAUGUUGGCUUAGAAGCAGCCAUCAUUUAAAGAAAGCGUAAUAGCUCACUGGUCGAGUCGGCCUGCGCGGAAGAUGUAACGGGGCUAAACCAUGCACCGAAGCUGCGGCAGCGACGCUUAUGCGUUGUUGGGUAGGGGAGCGUUCUGUAAGCCUGUGAAGGUGUGCUGUGAGGCAUGCUGGAGGUAUCAGAAGUGCGAAUGCUGACAUAAGUAACGAUAAAGCGGGUGAAAAGCCCGCUCGCCGGAAGACCAAGGGUUCCUGUCCAACGUUAAUCGGGGCAGGGUGAGUCGACCCCUAAGGCGAGGCCGAAAGGCGUAG